GGCUCUUCCGGUGUCAUGGCGCCAAAGUGCUUACCGCUAGCACACUGUGGAGAGGAGCUUUAUUGGAUGUCGUGCUUUCUGUGACUUCUACAAGCUACUGCCUGUAUAAGAAAGACCCUAGGAGACACUCAAGCUGCGCAAUGCUGCCUAUACCAUUACUAGAGCAAGACCAGUUUUGA
This 179-nucleotide long non-coding RNA is filed under the name Cavia porcellus (domestic guinea pig). RNAcentral describes it as "lncRNA (ENSCPOG00000039011.1)". Lineage: Eukaryota; Metazoa; Chordata; Mammalia; Rodentia; Caviidae. The record is from RNAcentral.